CCCGAGACCCGCCUAUUUGGUCUGAUUUUGGCCCGCUAACAGACUGCCGAGCGGACAGAGUUUUUCCUGUACAUCCUAGGCAUCACAAUCAAUACAAUACGCGAGAUUCCAACCAGGAACAGUAUUCAACAUACAGAUUGCAUAAGAAAGUAUCAAAACUAUAAAACAACUAAGUUAUUACAAGCAUUCAGCUCACUUGCAUUUUACAUUACAUUUUCUUUUACAUUCGACUUCUAAAUACAAUCAACCAUUACAAAUUUGUUUCUUUCAUUUCUAUACCCCUAGUUAGACUGACUUAGGGUACCGCUAUCUCUGAUCUCUAUGGUAGGGCGCUAUCUACGGAGAUACGCCCUUUCCUCGCGCCGCGCGCAGCUCACGUGUGAACCUGUAAUUCCCAAAACAACAUGGGAUAAGAACUAUUGUCCAUAAUUCUCAGUGGGUACGGCCACCCAAGGUAAGAGCUCAACCCACCAGGUCUGAAGGAGGCACUACAACAUGUUAAUCCAACAGAUAUCCACAGAUAUAUAUAUAUAUAUAUAUAUAGAGCAGGGCUGCUGUGCUCUCAGGAGCACGGAGGCCUCCGUGCUCCUGAGCCGUUUUUUAUGAUGGAAUUUUCGAAUUGACGAUCGGCUCCGUUAGACUUGAUCUAGCGCAUUUGAAGUUUCUAAAAAAUAAUUUUUGUGAUUUUUCAAUAUCAUUUACCUAGUGAUUGAAAGGAUUCAAAAUCCAUAAUUUUUAAUGGUUGAUAUCUGCUGUUUUCAAGUUUAACGGUGUAGAAGUAUUCAAAUCAGAUGAAAUUUUGAUACAAAAUUCUUUA
RNAcentral lists this long non-coding RNA (817 nucleotides) under Ananas comosus (pineapple). RNAcentral describes it as "long non-coding RNA (ACOM_LNC033392)". The record is from RNAcentral. Lineage: Eukaryota; Viridiplantae; Streptophyta; Magnoliopsida; Poales; Bromeliaceae.